UCGCUACUACCGAUUGAAUGGCUUAGUGAGCUCUAGGGACCGAGGCCGCGGUUGGGUUUCCUUCCGUGCGUCUUGCGGAACUAGAUCAAACUUGAUCAUUUAGAGGAAGUAA
RNAcentral lists this ribosomal RNA (112 nucleotides) under uncultured eukaryote. Its description in RNAcentral is "partial small subunit ribosomal RNA". The record is from RNAcentral.